RNAcentral lists this ribosomal RNA (492 nucleotides) under uncultured bacterium. Its description in RNAcentral is "partial 16S ribosomal RNA". It matches the Rfam family "Bacterial small subunit ribosomal RNA", at positions 29 to 507 of the family's 1533-position model. The record is from RNAcentral.
AGUGAACGCUGGCGGUAGGCCUAACACAUGCAAGUCGAACGGCAGCACAGUAAGAGCUUGCUCUUACGGGUGGCGAGUGGCGGACGGGUGAGGAAUACAUCGGAAUCUACUUUUUCGUGGGGGAUAACGUAGGGAAACUUACGCUAAUACCGCAUACGACCUACGGGUGAAAGCAGGGGAUCUUCGGACCUUGCGCGAUUGAAUGAGCCGAUGUCGGAUUUGCUAGUUGGCGGGGUAAAGGCCCACCAAGGCGACGAUCCGUAGCUGGUCUGAGAGGAUGAUCAGCCACACUGGAACUGAGACACGGUCCCGACUCCUACGGGAGGCACCAGUGGGGAAUAUUGGACAAUGGGCGCAAGCCUGAUCCAGCCAUACCGCGUGGGUGAAGAAGGCCUUCGGGUUGUAAAGCCCUUUUGUUGGGAAAGAAAAGCAGCAGGUUAAUACCCCGAUGUUCUGACGGUACCCAAAGAAUAAGCACCGGCUAACUUCGUG